CGGACGGGUGAGUAAUGUCUGGGAAACUGCCUGAUGGAGGGGGAUAACUACUGGAAACGGUAGCUAAUACCGCAUAACGUCGCAAGACCAAAGAGGGGGACCUUAGGGCCUCUUGCCAUCGGAUGUGCCCAGAUGGGAUUAGCUAGUAGGUGGGGUAACGGCUCACCUAGGCGACGAUCCCUAGCUGGUCUGAGAGGAUGACCAGCCACACCGGAACUGAGACACGGUCCAG
RNAcentral lists this ribosomal RNA (232 nucleotides) under uncultured bacterium. Its description in RNAcentral is "partial 16S ribosomal RNA". It matches the Rfam family "Bacterial small subunit ribosomal RNA", at positions 99 to 334 of the family's 1533-position model. The record is from RNAcentral.